GACGAACGCUGGCGGCGUGCUUAACACAUGCAAGUCGAACGGAAAGGCCCUGCUUUUGUGGGGUGCUCGAGUGGCGAACGGGUGAGUAACACGUGAGUAACCUGCCCUUGACUUUGGGAUAACUUCAGGAAACUGGGGCUAAUACCGGAUAGGAGCUCCUGCUGCAUGGUGGGGGUUGGAAAGUUUCGGCGGUUGGGGAUGGACUCGCGGCUUAUCAGCUUGUUGGUGGGGUAGUGGCUUACCAAGGCUUUGACGGGUAGCCGGCCUGAGAGGGUGACCGGCCACAUUGGGACUGAGAUACGGCCCAGACUCCUACGGGAGGCAGCAGUGGGGAAUAUUGCACAAGGGGCGGAAGCCUGAUGCAGCAACGCCGCGUGCGGGAUGACGGCCUUCGGGUUGUAAACCGCUUUCGCCUGUGACGAAGCGUGAGUGACGGUAAUGGGUAAAGAAGCACCGGCUAACUACGUG
RNAcentral lists this ribosomal RNA (468 nucleotides) under uncultured bacterium. RNAcentral describes it as "partial 16S ribosomal RNA". It matches the Rfam family "Bacterial small subunit ribosomal RNA", at positions 28 to 507 of the family's 1533-position model. The record is from RNAcentral.